Molecule: long non-coding RNA, 466 nt
Filed under: Capsella grandiflora
Lineage: Eukaryota; Viridiplantae; Streptophyta; Magnoliopsida; Brassicales; Brassicaceae
Description: long non-coding RNA (CGRA_LNC001451)
Source: RNAcentral
GUGUUUGCAUCGACUUACAUAUCUUUCUCGUGUAUUUACUCAGUUGACUUGGCCGAGCCAUCACUUGAAAAAGAUCUGGUUUUAUGUUGAUAAGGUAUGUUAGGCUGUUCUCAAUUCAUAGUGAGCAAUAUAUGUAAUUUUUAUUAUGGUGAAGAUAAUGUUUCUAAUGGAUGGAUUUUUAUUCAUCAGAGUCUAAACUUAUAAGUCUGUUCUCGAGAAAUCCAUAGUGUUGACUAAUUUUGAUUUGCUCCAGGUAAGUGCUUAUAUGAAAGAUGUUGAUAUUCUCAUUGAUGCCAUGGAGAUUUUGUAAGUGUAGCAGAACUUAUUAUCUUAGUUGUCUUAAUAGCAUAACUAUCCUUUGAUCUAUCCUGUCAAAUUUUAGAAACUUAUUGUAUCAUUGAUAAGAAAAAAUGUUGAUUUUACUUCUGUGAGGCAGAGAAGGAAGAGUGUAUUAAUCAUUAACUCG